RNAcentral lists this ribosomal RNA (187 nucleotides) under uncultured bacterium. RNAcentral's name for it is "partial 16S ribosomal RNA". It matches the Rfam family "Bacterial small subunit ribosomal RNA", at positions 1315 to 1500 of the family's 1533-position model. The record is from RNAcentral.
CCUGCAUGAAGUCGGAAUUGCUAGUAAUCGCGGAUCAGCAUGCCGCGGUGAAUACGUUCCCGGGCCUUGUACACACCGCCCGUCACACCAUGGGAGCCGGUAAUACCCGAAGUCAGUAGUCCAACCUCGUGAGGACGCUGCCGAAGGGUAGGAUUGGCGACUGGGGGUGAAGUCGUAACAAGGUACC